UGCGCUCUAGUCACAUUUGGCAAAUCGCCUUGGCUACAGCGGUAUGCGCUCCCUGUCACCGUCGAGCUUUAUCUAUCGUCUCACACCGAUGAAAUUGGGCUCUCUAUGUUGCUACUACUGUGAACUGACGGACGACUUUAUGAAAUGUAUUAUUUUCAUUGUCAAAUAGUCUAGGCCUACGUUUGAAGAAUUCAAUAUCUAUAACCGCGAACAAGAGCAGAACAUUCACUUCCGACGGGAGAAGCAAUCUCUUCAGUUCUCAAGCCAAAUGGUGAUUUCUUCUGAGGUUCCCAGGCCAGGGCCGUGGAGGGAUGCCCGGGGUGGAGUGUAGGACUGUGGGAGCCCCGUGUGGCAAGAGGAGGCCCCUCACCAUGAAGCUGCCCUGCUCCCUCUACUGCUCCCUGUGGCUCCUGCUGCUGCUGGUGGCCGGCUCCCUGCUGCUCCUCGUGCACCUGCAGGACGUGUCUGAGAUGCUGCAGCACACCCCAGGUGCAAAGUUUGUGGGGGCUCCGAGAUGGCCAGUUCAGAAGGGCCAGGAUGUGGAUCGAGCAGGGAUGGAAAGAUCUGACCCUGGCUUGGGUGGUAUCAGAGAUGGACCAGAGGUGGAGACCAGACCCUCCAUGCCUCCACUCCCCAGACAACCCACUGCCUCCCAGCUGCUGCCUGGCCCAUCCGUCUUAAACUCUGAAGACAUAGCCAGAAACACAAAACUACCGAUCACCAAACGCCACAGGAAGCUGCUGCUAAAGACUGGCGCCCCUUCAGGGGAGGAAUAUCAACACCAGCAGGCUCUGGCCCGGAGCCAGGAGUCCCGUCGACAGCUCUUGCGGGAGGUCUGUGCUAAGUACCAUCCCAGCGUGACAGAGGCGUCUGGCCGGCAGGUGGCGCGGGUCUUUGUGGAGGACAGGUCCGGCCUGCUGUACUGUGAGGUUCCCAAAGCCGGCUGCUCCAACUGGAAGCGUGUUCUGAUGGUGCUGGACGGCAGCGCCGCCUCCACCCACGGCAUCGCCCACGACGACGCCCACUACGCCAACCGUCUGCGCCGACUGGACGCGUACGACACGGCCGGCAUCGCCCAGAGGCUCCGCCUCUACACCAAGGUGCUGUUUGUCCGGGAGCCGUUUGAACGCCUGGUUUCGGCGUUCAGGGACAAGUUCGAGAGCCCCAACUCCUACUACCACCCUGUGUUUGGCCGGCCAAUCAUCUCUCGGUACCGUGCCAACGCGACGCGCGACGCCCUGAGGACGGGUGCCGGAGUGACCUUCCGGGAGUUCGUCCAGUACCUGCUGGACGUGCGGAGGCCGGUGGGCAUGGACAUCCACUGGGAGCCCGUCAGCCAACUGUGCAGCCCCUGCCUACUCAAGUACGACUUCAUCGGGAAGUUCGAAAGCCUUCAGGACGAGGCCAACUUCUUGUUGCGGAGUGUCGGAGCGCCCAGCAACCUCACCUUCCCCGAUUUCAAAGACAGGAACCCUGAUGCGGAGAGAACUUCCGCCAGAAUUACCCAGCGCUACUUUGCACAGUUGAACUCAACCGAGAGGCAGAGGGCCUAUGACUUCUACUACAUGGACUAUCUGAUGUUCAACUACCCGAAACCCUUCAUAGAUCUGUACUGAAGGCUUGGGUUGCCAGGUUUGAGAUUGUUGACAUUUCCGUGGAGAGAUUAUCCUGUGGGCCUUGAACAAGCACUACAGACACAUUCAAUGUUUUAAAUGUUCUUAAUCGUGAUAUUAGACUGUGAUAUAUGCUUGUUUUAUUUGACUGUUUUGAGCACAGGUCUUAUAACAUUUUAGUUUACUGCUUUUUCAAAUGUUAUUAUUCAUAGGAAAUGAACAAGCUAGUUUACUUGGUCGAUGCACUUGUAUACUACCGUAGGUUGCUGAAGUGGUAUUGAUUGGCAGGCAUUGAUUGGAGCACUCUAUAAUGGUCUCACGUGAACGUGACAGAAAACCUCUAUUAGCAGUCUGAGAAUGGAGCACUGUGUCAGGUGAGUCAGGUGGCUGAGCGGUUAAAGAAUCGGGCUAGUAAUCAGAAGGUCGCUGGUUCGAUUCCCGGCCGUGCAAAAUGACGUUGUGUCCUUGGGCAAGGCAUUUCACCCUACUUGCCUCGGGGGAAUGUCCCUGUACUUACUGUAAGUCGCUCUGGAUAAGAGCGUCUGCUAAAUGACUAAAUGUAAAUGUGUCCUUUUGAAACACCACGACUUCUGUGAAGUCAAUUAUAAUUAGGUAAAUUAGAUGUUAAGAAGCUUGUCAAGCCUUGCUGUCCCACAUGAAUGCUCUGAAUGUACCCACCCUCAGCCUCUGCUCUGAGCAUCCACCCUACAGACUGCAGCAGUGUGAAGAUAUCGACAUGACAACAACUGGUGCAAUAUGAAGAUAGAUUAUAUAUGACCACACAACGUGACAGUAUGAAUGAUGUUUGUCAGAGUGCAAUUGUAUUAUUAUUAUUCUUAUAGCAGCACGAGGGUUAAUAUGCCUACCAACAAAGGAAAUUAUAUUUAAAUCUCAUAGUCCUAAAAAAGCCAUUUCAUGUUUGUUUUUAAGCACUUUUGCCGUCAAUAAAUGUUUUAAAACGCUUUUCCAAACAAAUCCUCUAUCUAAGCUCAGGUUGACCUUGUACCCUGGUCCAGCAUCCUGUGUCCUCCAACCUGACUUUAGACCAGUCUCACACAGACCACCAGCUACCUUCACCCUGUCUCCCUGCUAGCCCAGUCUCCAUGUGUCCCUUCUCCCUACCCUGAAGA
RNA transcript from Osmerus eperlanus (European smelt), 2743 nucleotides. It is a transcript of the gene named carbohydrate sulfotransferase 8, with no coding region annotated. The record is from RefSeq and is a predicted model, not a curated record. The transcript has 5 exons. NCBI's taxonomy places the organism in Eukaryota, Metazoa, Chordata, Actinopteri, Osmeriformes, Osmeridae.